RNAcentral lists this ribosomal RNA (465 nucleotides) under Vreelandella stevensii. RNAcentral describes it as "partial 16S ribosomal RNA". It matches the Rfam family "Bacterial small subunit ribosomal RNA", at positions 338 to 795 of the family's 1533-position model. The record is from RNAcentral. Lineage: Bacteria; Pseudomonadati; Pseudomonadota; Gammaproteobacteria; Oceanospirillales; Halomonadaceae.
CCUACGGGAGGCUGCAGUGGGGAAUAUUGGACAAUGGGGGGAACCCUGAUCCAGCCAUGCCGCGUGUGUGAAGAAGGCCCUCGGGUUGUAAAGCACUUUCAGUGAGGAAGAACGCCUGGUGGUUAAUACCCAUCAGGAAAGACAUCACUCACAGAAGAAGCACCGGCUAACUCCGUGCCAGCAGCCGCGGUAAUACGGAGGGUGCGAGCGUUAAUCGGAAUUACUGGGCGUAAAGCGCGCGUAGGUGGCUUGAUAAGCCGGUUGUGAAAGCCCCGGGCUCAACCUGGGAACGGCAUCCGGAACUGUCAAGCUAGAGUGCAGGAGAGGAAGGUAGAAUUCCCGGUGUAGCGGUGAAAUGCGUAGAGAUCGGGAGGAAGACCAGUGGCGAAGGCGGCCUUCUGGACUGACACUGACACUGAGGUGCGAAAGCGUGGGUAGCAAACAGGAUUAGAUACCCCUGUAGUC